RNAcentral lists this ribosomal RNA (459 nucleotides) under uncultured bacterium. RNAcentral describes it as "bacterial SSU rRNA". It matches the Rfam family "Bacterial small subunit ribosomal RNA", at positions 81 to 518 of the family's 1533-position model. The record is from RNAcentral.
CCACUGAGAAGAUAGUGGCGAACGGGUGAGUAACAACGUGGGUAACCUAGCCCAUAAGAGGGGGAGUAACAUCCGGAAACGGGUGCUAAUACCGCAUAGUUUUCUUGAUCGCAUGAUCGGGAAAGGAAAGACGGCCUUUGUGCUGUCGCUUAUGGAUGGACCCGCGGCGUAUUAGUUAGUUGGUGAGGUAACGGCUCACCAAGACGAUGAUACGUAGCCGACCUGAGACGGGUGAUCGGCCACAUUGGGACUGAGACACGGCCCAAACUCCUACGGGAGGCAGCAGUAGGGAAUCUUCCGCAAUGGACGAAAGUCUGACGGAGCAACGCCGCGUGAGUGAAGAAGGUUUUCGGGAAUCGUAAAACUCUGUUGUCAGAGAAGAACAAGUUGGAGAGUAACUGCUCCAGCCUUGACGGUAUCUGACCAGAAAGCCACGGCUAACUACGUGCCAGCAGCUGC